This 819-nucleotide long non-coding RNA is filed under the name Mytilus galloprovincialis (Mediterranean mussel). The record is from RNAcentral. Lineage: Eukaryota; Metazoa; Mollusca; Bivalvia; Mytilida; Mytilidae.
ACUAUAUACAAUACAGAAAAGAAGAUACUCUGACUAGUGGAAAUAACUAUAUACAAUACAGAAAAGAAUGAUGUGGUAUGAUUGCAAAUGAGACAACUCUCUAAAAGAUACCAUAUGGCACAGAAAUGAACAACUAUAGGUCACCGUACAGCCUUCAACAAUGAGCAAAGCCCAUGCCACAUAUAAAAGUCCCCGAAAUGACAAUUCAAACGAGAAAACUAACGGUCUAAUGUAUGUCGAAAAAUGAACAAAAACAAAGUAACACAUCAACAAACGACAACCACUGAACUAUUAUAGACUCUUGACUUUGAACAGGCACAAACAAUAAUGUGGCGGGGUUAAACAUGUUAGCGGAAUCUAGAUCUUAACCCGCCCUCUAACUUGGGACAGUGGUGUAACAGUACGACAUCAGAACGAACUAUAAAAUCAGUUGAAAAUGGCUUAACUCAUUAGAUGGAAACAAGUCGAAAUACAUGUAACAAGAGUGGACGUGGACGGGUACUUGUGUUUAUAUAAUAUAUAUUAUUAGAUGAAGACAUUGUCUGAAGUUUUAUUGUUAUUUGGUCAUAACUUUCGUGCUUGUCGUUUUUUAUUUUCUGAUGGGUCAAACACAAAUGCAAUGUUUAACGAUUUUAAUUUGGUUAGACUACACGUCGAAGUUUAGUAUGACGUCCAUUAUCACUGUACUAUUAUGCAUAUUUUAGGGGCCAGCUGAAGGACACCUACGGGUGCGGGAAUUCUCGCUACAUUGAAGAUCACACUUUUCCAGAAAUAUUUUGCUUUAUGUUAAACUCGUCAGAAAAUUAAAAUGAGCAAGAC